AGAUUGAACGCUGGCGGCAGGCCUAACACAUGCAAGUCGAGCGGUAGAGAGGUGCUUGCACCUCUUGAGAGCGGCGGACGGGUGAGUAAUGCCUAGGAAUCUGCCUAGUGGUGGGGGAUAACGUUCGGAAACGGACGCUAAUACCGCAUACGUCCUACGGGAGAAAGGCGGGGGACCUUCGGGCCUCGCGCCAUUGGAUGAGCCUAGGUCGGAUUAGCUAGUUGGUGAGGUAAUGGCUCACCAAGGCGACGAUCCGUAACUGGUCUGAGAGGAUGAUCAGUCACACU
RNAcentral lists this ribosomal RNA (287 nucleotides) under uncultured soil bacterium. RNAcentral describes it as "partial 16S ribosomal RNA". It matches the Rfam family "Bacterial small subunit ribosomal RNA", at positions 26 to 314 of the family's 1533-position model. The record is from RNAcentral.